GACGAACGCUGGCGGCGUGCCUAAUACAUGCAAGUCGAACGCUUCUUUUUCCACCGGAGCUUGCUCCACCGGAAAAAGAAGAGUAGCGAACGGGUGAGUAACACGUGGGUAACCUGCCCAUCAGAAGGGGAUAACACUUGGAAACAGGUGCUAAUACCGUAUAACAAUCAAAACCGCAUGGUUUUGAUUUGAAAGGCGCUUUCGGGUGUCGCUGAUGGAUGGACCCGCGGUGCAUUAGCUAGUUGGUGAGGUAACGGCUCACCAAGGCCACGAUGCAUAGCCGACCUGAGAGGGUGAUCGGCCACAUUGGGACUGAGACACGGCCCAGACUCCUACGGGAGGCAGCAGUAGGGAAUCUUCGGCAAUGGACGGAAGUCUGACCGAGCAACGCCGCGUGAGUGAAGAAGGUUUUCGGAUCGUAAAACUCUGUUGUUAGAGAAGAACAAGGACGUUAGUAACUGAACGUCCCCUGACGGUAUCUAACCAGAAAGCCACGGCUAACUACGUGCCAGCAGCCGCGGUAAUACGUAGGUGGCAAGCGUUGUCCGGAUUUAUUGGGCGUAAAGCGAGCGCAGGCGGUUUCUUAAGUCUGAUGUGAAAGCCCCCGGCUCAACCGGGGAGGGUCAUUGGAAACUGGGAGACUUGAGUGCAGAAGAGGAGAGUGGAAUUCCAUGUGUAGCGGUGAAAUGCGUAGAUAUAUGGAGGAACACCAGUGGCGAAGGCGGCUCUCUGGUCUGUAACUGACGCUGAGGCUCGAAAGCGUGGG
Molecule: ribosomal RNA, 766 nt
Filed under: uncultured Bacilli bacterium
Lineage: Bacteria; Bacillati; Bacillota; Bacilli
Description: bacterial SSU rRNA
Rfam family: Bacterial small subunit ribosomal RNA
Source: RNAcentral